UACGUAGGGUGCAAGCGUUGUCCGGAAUUAUUGGGCGUAAAGAGCUCGUAGGUGGCGUGUCGCGUCUGCCGUGAAAGCCCCCGGCUCAACUGGGGAGGGUCAUUCGAUACUGUUCGACUCGAAGGCAGGAGAGGGAAGCGGAAUUCCCGGUGUAGUGGUGAAAUGCGUAGAUAUCGGGAGGAACACCAGUGGCGAAGGCGGCUCACUGGACCGGAACUGACGCUGAGGCGCGAAAGCGUGGGGAGCAAACAGG
RNAcentral lists this ribosomal RNA (253 nucleotides) under uncultured bacterium. Its description in RNAcentral is "partial 16S ribosomal RNA". It matches the Rfam family "Bacterial small subunit ribosomal RNA", at positions 524 to 776 of the family's 1533-position model. The record is from RNAcentral.